Unclassified non-coding RNA from Pongo abelii (Sumatran orangutan), 148 nucleotides. It matches the Rfam family "Metazoan signal recognition particle RNA". From Rfam's summary of the family: The signal recognition particle (SRP) is a universally conserved ribonucleoprotein. It is involved in the co-translational targeting of proteins to membranes. NCBI's taxonomy places the organism in Eukaryota, Metazoa, Chordata, Mammalia, Primates, Hominidae. The record is from Ensembl.
GCUGGGCACGGUGGCGGGAGCCUGUAAUCCCAGCUACUUGGGAGGCUGAGGCAGGAGAAUUGCUUGAACCCGGGAGGUGGAGUUUGCAAUGAGCUGAGAUCGCGCCACUGCACUCUAGCCUGGGUAACAGAGCAAGACUCUGCCUCAA